CAAAUAAUUGAUUUGGCUUGGUUCUAAUAUUUGAAAAACCAAUUUGAGCAAAACCGAUCCAAACUGAACCGUGAACACCCUACUGUCACACCUCCUUUUUACUACAUCCCAAAAGAGUAUAAAGGGAGUUUUUUCAAUUUACGUGACAAUCGAAACGAGAUUAUUUAUUAGAUUCAGAGUCGUCACUUGGGAUAAUUUAUAGUAUCCCAAGUCACCGAUUAAAAUCCCGAAUCGAGAAAGUUGACUCUUAUUACGGUCUGCGAACACAGAAAUCGGGUAAGGAAUUCUAUUAAUCUGGGAGAAGGUGUUAGGCAUUCCCGAGUUUCGUGGUUCUAGCACAGUCGCUCUGAUCAUACUUGGCUUAUUAAACUGUUUAAUUACCAAUUUUAGAACCUAUG
Molecule: long non-coding RNA, 398 nt
Filed under: Nicotiana benthamiana
Lineage: Eukaryota; Viridiplantae; Streptophyta; Magnoliopsida; Solanales; Solanaceae
Description: long non-coding RNA (NBEN_LNC003038)
Source: RNAcentral